RNAcentral lists this ribosomal RNA (817 nucleotides) under uncultured bacterium. Its description in RNAcentral is "bacterial SSU rRNA". It matches the Rfam family "Bacterial small subunit ribosomal RNA", at positions 1 to 811 of the family's 1533-position model. The record is from RNAcentral.
UAGAGUUUGAUCCUGGCUCACAUUGAACGCUGGCGGCAGGCCUAACACAUGCAAGUCGAGCGGCAGCGGGAAAGUAGCUUGCUACUUUUGCCGGCGAGCGGCGGACGGGUGAGUAAUGCCUAGGGAUCUGCCCAGUCGAGGGGGAUAACAGUUGGAAACGACUGCUAAUACCGCAUACGCCCUACGGGGGAAAGGAGGGGACCUUCGGGCCUUCCGCGAUUGGAUGAACCUAGGUGGGAUUAGCUAGUUGGUGAGGUAAUGGCUCACCAAGGCGACGAUCCCUAGCUGUUCUGAGAGGAUGAUCAGCCACACUGGGACUGAGACACGGCCCAGACUCCUACGGGAGGCAGCAGUGGGGAAUAUUGCACAAUGGGGGAAACCCUGAUGCAGCCAUGCCGCGUGUGUGAAGAAGGCCUUCGGGUUGUAAAGCACUUUCAGUAGGGAGGAAAGGGUGAGUCUUAAUACGGCUUAUCUGUGACGUUACCUACAGAAGAAGGACCGGCUAACUCCGUGCCAGCAGCCGCGGUAAUACGGAGGGUCUGAGCGUUAAUCGGAAUUACUGGGCGUAAAGCGUGCGCAGGCGGUUUGUUAAGCGAGAUGUGAAAGCCCUGGGCUCAACCUAGGAAUAGCAUUUCGAACUGACAAACUAGAGUCUUGUAGAGGGGGGUAGAAUUCCAGGUGUAGCGGUGAAAUGCGUAGAGAUCUGGAGGAAUACCGGUGGCGAAGGCGGCCCCCUGGACAAAGACUGACGCUCAUGCACGAAAGCGUGGGGAGCAAACAGGAUAAGAUACCCUGGUAGUCCACGCCGUAAACGAUG